RNAcentral lists this ribosomal RNA (445 nucleotides) under uncultured bacterium. RNAcentral's name for it is "partial 16S ribosomal RNA". It matches the Rfam family "Bacterial small subunit ribosomal RNA", at positions 354 to 796 of the family's 1533-position model. The record is from RNAcentral.
GUGAGGAAUAUUGCGCAAUGGAGGCAACUCUGACGCAGCCAUGCCGCGUGCAGGAAGAAGGCGCUACGCGUUGUAAACUGCUUUUAACCGGGAAGAAACCCCAGAACGUGUCCUGGGUUGACGGUACCGGAGGAAUAAGCACCGGCUAACUUCGUGCCAGCAGCCGCGGUAAUACGAAGGGUGCAAGCGUUAUCCGGAUGCAUUGGGUUUAAAGGGUGCGUAGGCGGAGCGUUAAGUCAGUGGUGAAAUCCUGCAGCUUAACUGUAGACUUGCCAUUGAUACUGUCGCUCUUGAGUGCGCAUGAAGUGGGCGGAAUGUGCCGUGUAGCGGUGAGAUGCUUAGAUAUGGCACAGAACACCAAGUGCGAAGGCAGCUCACUAAGGCGAUACUGACGCUGAGGCACGAAAGCGUGGGGAUCGAACAGGAUUAGAAACCCGUGUAGUCC